RNAcentral lists this long non-coding RNA (248 nucleotides) under Felis catus (domestic cat). RNAcentral describes it as "lncRNA (ENSFCAG00000049277.1)". The record is from RNAcentral. Lineage: Eukaryota; Metazoa; Chordata; Mammalia; Carnivora; Felidae.
GGAGAACCACUGUCUUAAGUGUAUUUGAGUGAUUUUGACACUUUCUUGGUGUACCCUAGUGGGGCGGUAUUGACUGUUUCUGUUUUUAUUGCCUUAAAAUAAAUCAAGCCUGAAAAAGACUGGGUCUGACGUUACCACCUGAGGUGUCCCUGAAACUCAGACGUUAGCAUUUCUGCUUUCAACUUCUGCCACAGAAGGGCUUCAGAUUUUUAAACACUUCUGGAGGGUUCUCUGAGCCCAGAAGCCUA